CACCUCACAGCAAAAAGUUCCUGGGUUUGAUUCCCAGGUGGAGUGGUCCGAGUCCUUUCUGCGUGAGAAAACACCAUUGGACAUUCCUUAACCACUCAGCAUCCUGCAGAUCCUUCACCAUCUGCAUGUCGCAGCAGUCCCAUCACAGGUAUAUAAGGACUUCAAUGAAAGCUGAGAACUGAGAGUUUCUUCUUCACCAACUCAACUGUCUCCUGUUAGCUGACACAUGGAUAAGUUAAGGUCAUCCUGCAUCUCAAGUGACUGCUGGAUCUUCUUCCCUUCAUAUCAGUCUGUUAUGACUCUUUCUUUUUAUUUCCAUUAAAUGUUGAAAAUGUAA
Molecule: long non-coding RNA, 337 nt
Organism: Trichomycterus rosablanca
Lineage: Eukaryota; Metazoa; Chordata; Actinopteri; Siluriformes; Trichomycteridae
Exons: 3
Source: RefSeq, a predicted model, not a curated record